This 1048-nucleotide long non-coding RNA is filed under the name Papio anubis (olive baboon). Its description in RNAcentral is "lncRNA (ENSPANG00000046228.1)". Lineage: Eukaryota; Metazoa; Chordata; Mammalia; Primates; Cercopithecidae. The record is from RNAcentral.
GUUUUUGCAUCAUAAAUUCAAAAUGUGGGUGUAAACUGUAGAAUAUUUUUUUUUUUUUUUUUGUAAUCUAAGUUAGGUUGUUACUAGUUUUAUUUAUUUAUUUAUUUAAGAUGGAGUUUCGCUCUUGUUGCCCAGGCUGGAAUGCAAUGGUGCGAUCUCUGCUCACAGCAACCUCCACCUCCUGAAUUCAAGUGAUUCUUUUGCCUCAGCAUCCUGAGUAACUAGGAUUACAGCCAUGCGCCACCACACCCGGAUAAUUUUGUACUUUUAGUAGAGACAGGGUUUCUCCAUGUUAGUCAGGAUGGUCUGGAAUUCCUGACCUCAGGUGAUCUGCCCGCCUCAACCUUAAAAACUGUUGGGAUAACAGGCAUGAGCCACCACACCCUGCCACGUUACUAGUUUUAAAAACCUUUUACAGGCCGGUCACAGUGGCUGACGCCUGUAAUCCCAGCACUUUGGGAGGCCGAGGUGAGCGGAUCACAAGGUCAGGAGAUCGAGACCACCCUGUCUAACACGGUAAAACCCCGUCUCUACCAAAAAUACAAAAAAAAAAGAAUUAGCCAGGCAUGGUGGCAGGUGCCUGUAGUCCCAGCUACUCAGGAGGCUGAGGCAGGAGAAUGGCGGGAACCCGGGAGGCUGAGGCCGGAGAAUGGCGGGAACCCGGGGGGCGGAGCUUGCAGUGAGCUGAGAUCCGGCCACUGCACUCCAGCCUGGGUGACAGAGCGAGACUCCGUCUCAAAAAAAAAAAAAAAAAAAAAAAAAAAAAACAAAUACAUGAGAGAGAACCCAGCAAGACUCCACUUUUCUGACCUACUUAAACUUGACAUACUACAUGUCUGUUGUUUAAAGCAGCUAAGUUUUGAGGUAAUAUGUUAGUUAUGGAUAAGUAAUACACUAAUUAAAUUGAAUUUUUUUUUACAAGUUUGUUUAACACAGUUUCCUCUUAACUAUAGAUACCACAUUGCUUAUAGUUUAUACUGGGGAAAUAGGGUUAACGAUGUUUAAGGACUUUGCUUGAUAGGUUGUGAGUAUGUUCACAUUUAAUCUU